UUUCAUAGUCACCAGAACUUGAGAUAAUUAAACAUUUCAAUAUGUUGCUACUCUUGCAAACUCUCGUAAUUAUUUACUUAAUUUCAGAAAUCCCUAAGACAGAUUCAAAACCGAAGCGGAAUGAAAACAGACUUAAAGAAAUCUCUAAGGCCAAUUUAAAACCUAAGCGGAAUGAACACAAACUUAAAGGU
Molecule: long non-coding RNA, 191 nt
Organism: Saccostrea cuccullata (small rock oyster)
Lineage: Eukaryota; Metazoa; Mollusca; Bivalvia; Ostreida; Ostreidae
Exons: 3
Source: RefSeq, a predicted model, not a curated record